Molecule: ribosomal RNA, 497 nt
Filed under: uncultured bacterium
Lineage: Bacteria
Description: partial 16S ribosomal RNA
Rfam family: Bacterial small subunit ribosomal RNA
Source: RNAcentral
GACGAACGCUGGCGGCGUGCCUAAUACAUGCAAGUUGAGCGCUGAAGGUUGGUACUUGUACCAACUGGAUGAGCAGCGAACGGGUGAGUAACGCGUGGGGAAUCUGCCUUUGAGCGGGGGACGACAUUUGGAAACGAAUGCUAAUACCGCAUAAAAACUUUAAACACAAGUUUUAAGUUUGAAAGAUGCAAUUGCAUCACUCAAAGAUGAUCCCGCGUUGUAUUAGCUAGUUGGUGAGGUAAAGGCUCACCAAGGCGAUGAUACAUAGCCGACCUGAGAGGGUGAUCGGCCACAUUGGGACGGAGACACGGCCCAAACUCCUACGGGAGGCAGCAGUAGGGAAUCUUCGGCAAUGGACGAAAGUCUGACCGAGCAACGCCGCGUGAGUGAAGAAGGGUUUCGGAUCGUAAAACUCUGUUGGUAGAGAAGAACGUUGGUGAGAGUGGAAAGCUCAUCAAGUGACGGUAACUACCCAGAAAGGGACGGCUAACUACGUG